UACGGGGGGGGCAAGCGUUGUUCGGAAUUACUGGGCGUAAAGGGCUCGUAGGCGGCCAACUAAGUCAGACGUGAAAUCCCUCGGCUUAACCGGGGAACUGCGUCUGAUACUGGAUGGCUAGAGGUUGGGAGAGGGAUGCAGAAUUCCAGGUGUAGCGGUGAAAUGCGUAGAUAUCUGGAGGAAUACCGGUGGCGAAGGCGGCAUCCUGGACCGACAUUGACGCUGAGGAGCGAAAGCCAGGGGAGCAAACGGG
Molecule: ribosomal RNA, 253 nt
Filed under: uncultured bacterium
Lineage: Bacteria
Description: partial 16S ribosomal RNA
Rfam family: Bacterial small subunit ribosomal RNA
Source: RNAcentral